This 704-nucleotide ribosomal RNA is filed under the name uncultured bacterium. RNAcentral's name for it is "bacterial SSU rRNA". It matches the Rfam family "Bacterial small subunit ribosomal RNA", at positions 29 to 753 of the family's 1533-position model. The record is from RNAcentral.
GUGAACGCUGGCGGCGUGCUUAACACAUGCAAGUCGAACGGACUUAAGGGGCUUGCUUCUUAAGUUAGUGGCGCACGGGUGAGUAAUAUAUAGCUAACCUGCCCUUUAGUGGGGGACAACAGUUGGAAACGACUGCUAAUACCCUAUACUCCUUCUAACUAUAAGGUAAGUUGGGAAAGAUUUAUCGCUAAAGGAUGGGGCUUUAUUGUAUCAGCUAGUUGGUGGGGUAAUGGCCUACCAAGGCUAUGACGCAUACCUGGUCUGAGAGGAUGAUCAGGCACACUGGAACUGAGACACGGUCCAGACUCCUACGGGAGGCAGCAGUGGGGAAUAUUGCACAAUGGAGGAAACUCUGAUGCAGCAACGCCGCGUGGAGGAUGACGCAUUUCGGUGUGUAAACUCCCUUUGUAGGGGAAGAUAAUGACGGUACCCUAUGAAUAAGCACCGGCUAACUCCGUGCCAGCAGCCGCGGUAAUACGGAGGGUGCAAGCGUUACUCGGAAUCACUGGGCGUAAAGGAUGCGUAGGCUGGAAAUCAAGUCGAGAGUGAAAUCCAACGGCUCAACCGUUGAACUGCUCUCGAAACUGGUUACCUAGAAUAUGGGAGAGGUAGAUGGAAUUAGUGGUGUAGGGGUAAAAUCCGUAGAUAUCACUAGGAAUACCGAUUGCGAAGGCGAUCUACUGGAACAUUAUGACGCUGAGGCA